GCAAAUAUUAGUGACACUGCGUCAUUCUGCGCAAUGCCGUCGCAAACUAUUGUGGAUAUUACAGAAGUGUCCUCAUCCAGGGUUGGAUAUUGGAGCUGAUACCUCACUAAUAACUCUUUGUUCAGUAAAGUGUGAUUUUCUACUAGCUUGUGCCGAGUUUAAUUAAAAAUUUUAUAAUAUUAAAAAAUAAUUAUAUUUCCUGCUAAUAGAAAAAAUCGUUUAAGCAGCACAAAAUAGAUUUAUAGGAAAUAAAACGGAUACCAAAAUUUGAGAAUUAAUGAUCAACAGGAAUUAAUGCUGUACUUAUGAACGAAACUAAAUAACGGGAUCAAUGGUGCUAAAGUCAUAAAAUUGGCAACGUUUAACCUACUUUACUGCUAAAACAACAAAUAAGCAAAAGGAACAAUGACAAGCAUUUUAAACGUCGGCGGAGGUGACUAUUUAUAAUCCAUUGCAAAAUUCAUACAUUUCAACACAGUUGGUGUAUGUGUGUGCUGCACUCGUCCGAAGGCGUUGGAAAACCCGCUGACAUUGGAAAAUUUCUUCUUGCUGUGCUGCUACGCUCUGCAUGUCGUAAUGAUUUGUUUCAUACAAGAGAAGUUGCCAUCAGCUGCCGGCUCCCAACCAAACAUGUGCGCUCAGAUCGCUUUCAUCGGAACCGAACCAUUGGCAACGGGUGGCUUUGUAAAAGGAACAGUAGAAAUACUGAGAAAUAGCCCUUUAUGCCUUCAUAGCCGGGACAUUAGUCAGCAUAAUUAGUUCCGCAAAUUAUUUAACGUUGACGAUCUUCCUUUAAGCAUUGGCAAGAAGACAUACACGCAUACAUGGUUUUUUAUUCACAAUUCCAUGCGAAGUUCCUUUUCAGAUGGGUUCAACACAAGUCUGCAAAGGUUUCACUCUUUAGACCUUAAAAGGUAAAAU
RNAcentral lists this long non-coding RNA (921 nucleotides) under Bactrocera tryoni. RNAcentral describes it as "uncharacterized LOC120782740, transcript variant X1". Lineage: Eukaryota; Metazoa; Arthropoda; Insecta; Diptera; Tephritidae. The record is from RNAcentral.